GUGUUCUCUUUGGAAGCACAUAUGCUAAAAUGGGAAUGAUACAGAAAAGAUGAGCAAAGCCCUUGAGUGAGGGUGAGUUGUUUAGCUUUGCAACUGAAACAAUUAUA
Small nuclear RNA from Trichosurus vulpecula (common brushtail), 107 nucleotides. The record is from RefSeq and is a predicted model, not a curated record. NCBI's taxonomy places the organism in Eukaryota, Metazoa, Chordata, Mammalia, Diprotodontia, Phalangeridae.